CGUAGGGUGCGAGCGUUGCCCGGAUUUAUUGGGCGUAAAGGGCGCGUAGGCGGCUCGGCACGUCCGUUGUGAAAUCGCCCGGCUCAACUGGGCGGGGUCAGCGGAUACGGUCGAGCUUGAGCAAGCUAGGGGGCAAUGGAAUUCCCGGUGUAGUGGUGGAAUGCGUAGAUAUCGGGAGGAACACCAGUGGCGAAGGCGGUUGCCUGGGGCUUUGCUGACGCUGAUGCGCGAAAGCGUGGGGAGCGUUCCGGAUCAGAUACCCGGGUAGUCCACGCCGUAAACGAUGCGGACUAGGUGUCGGGGGUAUCGACCCCCUCGGCGCCGCAGCUAACGCAUUAAGUCCGCCGCCUGGGGACUACGGCCGCAAGGCUA
This 372-nucleotide ribosomal RNA is filed under the name uncultured organism. RNAcentral describes it as "bacterial SSU rRNA". It matches the Rfam family "Bacterial small subunit ribosomal RNA", at positions 526 to 896 of the family's 1533-position model. The record is from RNAcentral.